This 372-nucleotide long non-coding RNA is filed under the name Equus asinus (donkey). RNAcentral's name for it is "lncRNA (ENSEASG00005025267.1)". The record is from RNAcentral. Lineage: Eukaryota; Metazoa; Chordata; Mammalia; Perissodactyla; Equidae.
GGAGCUGUAUCGGUAAAGUCAAUGAGGCUGGCUCGGUGGGGAUUGUGGUGAAUGGAAGAGCAUGUGACCCUUCUAAGGACAACAACCACCACCAACCUUCAGCAGACUGUUGCCAAGUACUAACCAGAGUGGCCAGCUUGGUUGAUCAAAAGAAACCACAACUCCAGAUUUACUCAGAUGUGGUUGCUGGAAUCACCAUCCACCCAGGCUGAAAGCUCAGAUCUUACUGCACUUCUUCCUUCUGAGAACUGUGACGACCAGCAUCCACACAGCUUAGCUAUCAGGACUGAGAGCUGAGACCACUUGUUCAUUCUUACCUAGAAGUUACAGCUAUGAACUGUUGCAGCAGGAUUUCAGAGAAACCCACUGGAG